CACCAACCAUUAUUAUGUACACCGUCUUCUCUAGUACACAUUCUUUUACAAUACUUGAGAAAGAGAGAGAGAGAGAGAGAGAGAGAGAGAGAGAGAGAGAGAGAGAGAGA
Molecule: long non-coding RNA, 110 nt
Organism: Quercus lobata
Lineage: Eukaryota; Viridiplantae; Streptophyta; Magnoliopsida; Fagales; Fagaceae
Exons: 2
Source: RefSeq, a predicted model, not a curated record